Molecule: unclassified non-coding RNA, 254 nt
Filed under: uncultured fungus
Lineage: Eukaryota; Fungi
Description: sequence contains ITS2
Rfam family: 5.8S ribosomal RNA (bases 1-52)
Source: RNAcentral
AACGCACAUUGCGCCCGCCAGUAUUCUGGCGGGCAUGCCUGUCCGAGCGUCAUUUCAACCCAUCAAGCCCUGCUUGUGUUGGGGCCCUGCGGCUGCCCGCAGGCCCCGAAAUACAGUGGCGGGCUCGCUAGCAAGACCGAGCGCAGUAGCACACGAAACCUCGCUCAGGCCUCGCGGCGGGCUCCCGGCCGUGAAACUCUUAGGACCCUUCCAAGGUUGACCUCGGAUCAGGUAGGAAUACCCGCUGAACUUAA